RNAcentral lists this transfer RNA (72 nucleotides) under Phakopsora pachyrhizi. Its description in RNAcentral is "tRNA-Lys". It matches the Rfam family "tRNA". Rfam says of the family: Transfer RNA (tRNA) molecules are approximately 80 nucleotides in length. Their secondary structure includes four short double-helical elements and three loops (D, anti-codon, and T loops). Lineage: Eukaryota; Fungi; Basidiomycota; Pucciniomycetes; Pucciniales; Phakopsoraceae. The record is from RNAcentral.
UUAACUGUAGCUCAAAGGUAGAGUGGAAAACUUUUAACUAUCUGGUUAUAGGUUUGAGCCCUAUCAGUUAAG